AUGUAACAAUAAGAAAUAUACUCAAAACCUGGAUUAAUCUUUUUAGUCACAUAGCACUACUAUUAUUCUGAACACUACUGUAUAUAUAUAUAUAUUAAAUCUAUCUCAAUCACAGUAGUAGCAAGUGACAAAAUCACAGAGUUACAUCGAGUUUAUAUAGCCUACGUCACCUGACAUCACAAACGUUGAGUGCGCUACCGAAGCGCCUGCCCUCUGAUGGCAAAAGUUGAACUACGUCUAUACAGUCAGUGGAACGUUGCACAACGUCGCCCUCUGCUGAGCCAAAUGGACCUGUGAUGAAGACAGGAAAUUUGGACCCCUAAAGCGAGCCUUCUCCGGCAUUUUACAGAGAUUUUUGAGAAUCUGCUACGUGAGCCGGCGACAGCCAUUU
Molecule: long non-coding RNA, 391 nt
Organism: Thalassophryne amazonica
Lineage: Eukaryota; Metazoa; Chordata; Actinopteri; Batrachoidiformes; Batrachoididae
Exons: 4
Source: RefSeq, a predicted model, not a curated record